RNAcentral lists this long non-coding RNA (8705 nucleotides) under Selaginella moellendorffii. RNAcentral's name for it is "long non-coding RNA (SMOE_LNC001483)". Lineage: Eukaryota; Viridiplantae; Streptophyta; Lycopodiopsida; Selaginellales; Selaginellaceae. The record is from RNAcentral.
UUGUUCUCCUCCCUUCUUCAUUCAUAGAAACAGCAAGUGAGCGAGAAAAUCUCGAACAAAACUCCUAUCGAUUUUCCUUCCUUGGCGAGUGGGGUUUCUCCAUCGUUUAAUCCACCACCGAGUGAACUCCCCACACCCAGAGCCCCACUAUCAUUCUCGGAUCCAGUAUUUUGGAAGAGGAGCGCCACCCCGAUCCAUCUACCAGCAUUUCGUUCUUGGCAGAAGCCCUUCCCCGAUUUUAGCUCGAGUAGCGAGAUGCAGGCAGAUCCGCGAUCUAACAGAGUGUCAUGGAUGCCAUAUGGUUCAAGUAGAUGGUAUGAUAUUUUAUUAUUGGAACCCGGUUGCUGAGAUGAUGGCUACCAGGUAAGUGUAGAGGUAAACCGGUGUAGAAGACCCGGGUUCGAUGCCGAAGGGUUCAAUCAACAAGGACUUUUAUGCAAAAAUCUUGCUCUUUAAGUAGCCUUUGUUCUGGUUCGCUAGCUCACUAAAACAACUUAGACCAGUCGGUUAGGGCCUCGGUUUCCCAAAGCAUACGUUUCGGGUUCGAUUCUUGCCAAUGCUACUUGUAAGGCAAAAAAUGUUCGAAUAAGUUCCUCUUGCCUGCUCCGAUACCAUGUGGUUAUUAUUGUUAUGACGGUUGAUACAUGGUUAAAUGUAUGAGUUUAUCGUGACAAUUUGUGGCAGCGUCGUGGCCCUGCGCGCUGACGUGGUCUUGUUCACUCCCACAUCUAUUUGAUGAUCUCGCGAAAUCUCUCUCCUCGUGUCCCUGCAUUCGAAGUUUUCUCCCGGUCGAGAACUUUGUCUGGCCUCUCGAAAAUGAGCAACGGGGUUCCACGAUUCCGGAGAGUGAGGUAUGCUUGUCUUUUAUUGUGAUGCCUUUUUUUUGUUUGUUUCUUUUUCCUCCAGAGAUGAGAUGGUCCAGAAGAAAUGCAUAGAAAUAUUUUCUUCUAUCAGCUAGCUGGUGCUAGCUUGGAGGACCUAAGAAAACGGCUGCAAUGCAGAAUUCUCCAGCAUGCACUAGUUCAAAAUCAGCCGGCACCAUGAGGGAACACAGCUCAGGUCUCUAAGCCAAGAGACCUGGGCAAAUCUCUUAUUAUAAGACCUUGCAUCAUGAGAUGCAAUUGAUUUAUAACUACUGUUCGAGGAUUAGGAUUAUUAUGGAGCUGGAGAGGGGCACAACUCAUCGUCGCAGGUGAGUUUGAGAUUCUGGAACAGGUUGAGCUCGCAGCCGCAGGUCUCAGCGAUGUCGAUCAGGAGCUGGCAGCACUUGUCGCCUUGAAUUGGAACACGGCAAGCUUCAGGAAGCAUGACGUUGAGGCAAUCGAUUACUGGAGCAGCAGAAGAAGCCUGUUUGAUUGAAGAUGCAAGAACAAUGGAAACAAGGAUGAGGAGAGCGCACUUGGAAUUCUUCAUAGUGCUUGGAACAAGCGCAGAGACGAUAUGCACACUAGCCAGUUUAUAUAGUGGGAGAAGAAUGGCUUCACCAGCGUGCCAACUAGGCAUGCGCAUUAGUCAACAGCGCUUUUAGGUGUUCCUACCGCAGAAUCCCGAUAUAAUCUAUAAGGUGAUUGUGAUUGUUUGUUGGAGCUUCCAUAGCUGCUUGCUCCAUUUGCUCUAGCUAGAGUGCUGUUCUUUUCCUCUAAGAAUAUCCUAGCCUAACAUUUUCCUGAUACUCCUCUGGAGAUCCUCCUUUUGCUCCUCCUGCUCGCUAGUGGCCAGAAACCAAGGAGCUAAAAUCUGGUUAAAACAACUGGAUAGAUUGACUGAGCAUCCCUAGAAUAUGCCUUAAGGGAAUCUUUAGGGAAUGUUUUAAUAUUUCCGCAUUCUCUAAUUAGCUCCAUACUUAGCCAAAAAAAUCUUAGACAUAUAAGUGCAUUCAAAUAUAACCAUAGAAGGUGUAUGAAAAUAUAAAAACCCAAUUUCAGUAAUUCUUGAUAGAGGAUCAAUAUAAUUGAGCUUGCAACCUGCAAAGUCUGGGGCUUGGAUUAAUCCAUCUAGCUUGCUUUCCCUUAGGAAUUGAAAAAAACAUUGUGAUUAAUAGAGAAACCCACCAAUUUAAAAUCCACCUUGUGGUGCUAAAAAGAAUCUUUCUAUGAGUACUUCAUAGCAUACUAUGACUAGGGAUAAUCAGACAAUCUAACAAAUUCCCAAAGCCAAAAGUUUACUGAUGGUUCAAGUACAUAGUAUGAUAUGCUGAGAUCAUGGGUAUCAAGAGGUAAACUACUUGAGUUUAAUGCCAAAGAGUCCAAACUUUUAUGCAAAAAUUUUGCUCAAUAAGUUAUUAUUCAUCUAACUAAAAUAGAUUAAACCAGUUAAGUAGGACCUCAGUUUCCCAAAGCAUACGUUUCGGGUUCGAUUCUGGUAUAGAUAAAAGGAAAAAGAAUUUACAUUUGAGACCUUGAUGAAAGCUUGUGGAUCUUGCAUUCCUGAAACAAUAUCGUGUAUCAAGUAUUCGUGCUUCUUUCCCUUUCAGGAGUCAUGGCGUUGCCGACGACGGUGCUCAAUCCGUUACUACUCCCUUCUUUCUCAGCUGCUUUGCUAGAAGCUCUCAAGAGAACCGGCGAGGAGCGUGUCGCUGCGUUUCACUUCCCAGGCCACGGCCGCGGCUCCUCAGCGCCCUCUUCGAUUUCCAAGCUUCUCGGAGCUCAACUCUUCCAGUUUGAUCUCCCGGAGCUGCCAGGCCUGGAUAACUUGCACUCGCCACAAGAAGCCAUAGCCGAAGCGCAGCAAAUGGCCGCCGUGCUUUUCGGAGCUGCAUGACAUGGAUCCCUGGAGUCUGAUAUUAGCGUCGCCUGGAGUGGAAUUGAGCACUCUGAUCUCUUCCUUUUCAUGCUGCCAAGGGUACUUAUGGUUCUUGCUCUACGUGUGGAAUUCAACCGGGGAUCAUGAGCUGCUGCAAGACCGAAGACGUUCUGAUCCUCCCCGGGAACGCCCACGUCUCGGCAUUCUCAGCCAUGGUUCUUGCUGGAGCAAUGCCUCACUAUGGUCUUCCUUGUUAUGACGAGCUCUGGGAUAUUUCUCAUGGUGUCUCCGCAGAGAGCAUCGAGUUGGCCAUUUUGGAUCUGCAGAAAAGAAAAGAAGUGGGAAUUGGAGCUGUUCUGAUUGUCUCGCCAACUUACUAUGGAGUGUGUAGCCCUGGAGGAGAUCGCAUAGGUGUAUCACGAGCAUGGUAUCCCGAUCAUAGUUGACGAGGCUCAUGGAGCGCACUUAAUGUUCCACUCGAGGUUUCCUGCAACGGCACUCGAGCAGGGAGCCGACGUUGUUGUCCAAUCCAAGGUACUCUCGUCUCUUAUGCAGUCCGGGAUGCUCCAUCUUGCAAGAGGCUGCAAGAUUGUAAGGCACGAGAGAAUUAGCAAGUGCCUUCAAACCUUGCAAAGCUCCAGUCCGAGUUACCUUCUCUUGGCCUCUCUCGAUGCCGCAAGAUGAAUUGUGCAGCAAGCGACGACCAUCCGUUGUUUGAUACAGCUCUGGAGCUGGCUUCCACAUCUCGGCGACGCCUGAAACAAAUUCCACAAGUUUUAGUCCUUGAUAGAGAAAAUGUGAGCUUGGCAGCCAAACCUGAUACCAUUUUUUAUGAGCUUAGGAUCACCAUUGGGUUGUGGGAGCUCGGAGUCACAGGAACUCUUGCCGAUGACUUUCUGUGCGAUAAAUGCGAGAUAGUGGCCGAGCUUCCUCUUCUGAACUCCAUAACUUUUGCUAUAGGAGCCAGCACUAGCAGCAGCGAGAUUGAGAAACUUAUCAAAGGCUUCAAGAGCUUUCGAGUUCUUCCAGAUUGACAAUAGGUCCUUAUUCCAGACCCUGAGUGCCUGAUUGUAAUAAAAUCAAAUGGAAAGCACUAGUUAGUCCAAGAGAUGCUUUGUUACAGAAACUUACUGCUGCAAAGCUGACGAAGCAGUGGGUCUAGCGAGUGCUGAGCUCGUGUGCCCGUAUCCACCUGGUAUUUCUGUGCUCUUUCCUCGUGAAGUGACAUCACAAAGAUCCAGCUGCAAAGAAAAAAACAAGAGUUUAGAUAAAUGCAAAGUCAUAGAAACUUCAUUACGUACCGAUCACUUCAAGGUUUUCAUUGUUUGAGCCUGAGUAUAUGUUUGCCAUGAGAGCAUAAGCUGUACCACCUUGAUCGUCAACCUUUGAUAGCGCAUCAAAGGCUACCUCUCCAAUCACCGCAUUUUUCCACUUGAAACAAGCCCCAAGCAAUGCCAUCCAUAUCCUGGAGCACACGUCUUCCACAGGCAGGUUUUGCACCAUCGCAAGCGCAUCCUCCAGCCGAUUAGCACGUCCAAGUAGAUCAACCAUGGAGAUUACGUGCUCCACACUCGGACUAAGUCCAUAGUCCGAGCACAUCGCGUGAAAGUAUUCCAUCCCCUUGUCGACCAAACCAGAGUGGCAGCAGACCGAUAGAACUGAAGAGAAUGUCACAGCGUCCGGCUUGGCAAACUCUUGCAUUCUCUCGAACAGAUCAAACACCGCGUCACUGUCCCCUUGACGGCUGUAUCCCGCGAUCAGUGCACUCCAAGACACUGCGUCCUUGUCUGGAAACCCAUCAAACACUCGCCGAGAUUCCACCAUGUCACCACACUUGCCGUAGAAACUUACGAGCGAGUUUGCCACCGCCGGAGAGCUCUCGGCCCCAGCUUCUUCGAUCAGACGAUGGAUUGCCUGUCCAGCCUGUAGUGCUCCAAGACCACCACAGGCCUUAAGUACCGAUGCAAAAGUCUGCGAGUCCGGUUUCAGUCCUUGGAGUCCCAUUUUCGAAAACUCCUGCAGGGCCAGCUCAUGGUUUCCACUCUCGGUGUAGGCUUCGAUCAUGAUGUUCCACGAAACCAAGUCUUUGAUCACCAUUUUGUCAAAAACUCGAGCCGCAUCAUCCAAACUUCCACACCAAGCGUAGAGACUCAUCAAGUUGUUUGCAGCGUAAACAUCUUCCAGCCCGUCGAGAAACCGGGAAUGAAAAGCCAAUGCCUUCUCCAGCGACGCCACUUUCAAGGGCCUUCCAUCCACAAGCCGAGUCUCUUCCUUCUCGGCCAUAUCCAAGCAUGCCUGGAGAACGGCCACCAAAGUUCUGGAGCUGACGACCACGUCUAACGCUUGCAUGGCCGUGAAUAACUCAAGAGCUCGCUCGGCCUCGCCACCUUUUGCAUAUCCCAUGAUCAAAACAUUCCAGGAGACCGAAUCCCGCUCUAUCAUCCCGUCGAAAACUCGCCGGCAAUCCAGCAAUCUCCCCCACUUUGCAUACAUAUCCAUCAGACUGUUGGAGACGAAAACGCUGGACGAAAUCCCUGUCCCUGUUCUUGCAAACUUCGAGUAAAUCUCUCCGCCCCUGUCCAGCCAUCCCAGAUUCGUGCAAGCGUCGAGCACGGCCACCAGAGUCCGAGCAUUCGCCUCCACUCCAUCUUCCAAAAGCAUAAGCUCAAAGAGCUCCAAGGCUAGCUCGUCUUCCCCUCCUUGCGAGCAAGCGCUGAUCAUGGCACUCCACAAAACCACGUCCUUUGUUCCCAACUUGGCAGCCUGGAAAAUCUCUAGAGCUUCUCUCACGGUGCCACACUUUCCAUAGAAAUCCACCAGGGCGCUGGCCACGAACCUGUCCACCAAGAAUCCACCACUCUGGAGCUGGGAAUGAAGAGCCAAGCCUCUCUUGAGGCUCCUGAGCUUGAUGAUCUUCCCCUGUAAAUCUCUCACCCCCUUUUCUCUAGCGGCCAGCGAAGAACACGCCUGGAGAGCCGCGACGAAGCUCCGGCCGUUUGGAUCCAACCCCUCGGCAUGGAGCCGCCCAAAGAACUGGAGCGCGAGCUCCGGCUGGCCGCACCGCGCGUAGCCGCCGAUGACGCAGUUCCACGACGCCGCGGUGCGCCGAUCCAUGGAAUCGAAAAUGCGGCGUGCCUCAUCCAUCCUGCCCCGUUUCGCAAAUCCAUCAAUGAUUGCGUUGAUCAAGCCGAUGUUCUUACCGGAGAGGAGAUCGCGCUCGCGGCCGUCGCCGUCCAGCUGGAUUGGAGCCAUUUCUCGUAGCGCGACAUUGAUUUGCCCAAUCAUCUGAUUUUAGGGUUCUUGAGGUUUAGAGACGAAGAACAAAUCCUGACCGUUAAAAAUAAUCGUAGUAAAAUCUGGGCAGAUGUGGUGGCGCUCUGGCGGCUAUCUGGCGGUGGAGGAGCGGCGCUGUGGAAAAUUUUCAUUCAGAGAACUUAUAUAACUCAUGACCAUUUUUGGGUUCGUUUUCUUUCUUUUACAGGAAAAUAAAAAUAGUAAGAACAAUAGGAGGAUAAUGAAAAAAACUGUGCUUGCUCUAUGCAAACUCACUGGAUGCCGAGAGAGCGUUCUUGUGAGAUUUGAUCAGGCCUCCCAAAACCUGGCCGUGUUUUCGAUACGGUCCUGGAUCUGCCAAUCUACGAUCCUUGCCUGGGUACAUUUACAGACGAGCAGAGCGACGGGAAUGAGCUACCAGUUGUUCUCCUCACUUCUUCAUUCGCGAGAAAAUCUCGAACAAAACUCUCCUGUCGAUUUUCCUUCCUUGGCCGAGUGGUUUAAUCCACCACCGAGCGAACUCCCCACACCCAGAGCGCCACUAUCGUCCUUGGAUCCCUCCACGCGGUGGUCGUCAAGUAUUUUGGGAAGAGGAGCGCCGCCCCGAUCCAUCUAGAUCCCGUCCUCUUACCUCUAAAAUCGGGGAAGCGCUUCUGCCAAGGACGCGAGAAUGCGGGUCGACCCGGGAUUUAACAGAGUGCCAUGGAUGCCAUAUGGUUCAAAUAGAUGGUAUGAUAUAUUGUUAUUGGAACCCGGUUGCUGAGAUAAUGGCUACCAGGUAAGUGUAGAGGUAAACCGGUAUAGAAGACCCGGGUUCGAUGCCGAAGGGUCCAAUCAACAGGGACUUUUAUGCAAAAAUCUUGCUCUUUAAGUAGCCCUUGUUCUGGUUCGCUAGCUCACUAAAAGAACUUAGACCAGUCAUUUAGGACAUCGGUUUCCCAGAGCAUGCGUUUCGGGUUCGAUUCUUGCCAAUGUUAUCUGCAAGGCAAAGAAUAUUCGCAUGUUAACAUCAAACCAAAAAUGUUUAUAAUUCUUAAACUCAAAUUAGGAUUUAAGAAAACAUCAUUUAAUAUUAUUUAUUGUAAAAUAAUUAGAAAUGAAAGUUAAAAGAGAGCUUUCACUUUAUUCCCAUCAUUUUACCGCUCUCUAUUCUAUUUGGAUUGUUCUUGGCUGUGGCUUGGGGAUCUUUGGAAUUGUGACAGUGAGGACACCGUGUUCUACUGUAGCUUUGAUCGCCUCCACAUUUGCACUCUCGGGCAGCCGGAAUUUCCGCAAGAAGCUGCCGUGGCUGCGCUCCACGCGGUGCCACUUAUCGCUCUUGUCAGACUCGUGCUUCUUCCUCUCGCCACUGAUCUGGAGAGUGCGGCCGUCCUCCACGCUGAUCUUCACUUCCUCUCUACUCACACCCGGGAGAUCGGCCUUGAAGAUGUGUGCCUCGGGUGUCUCGAGCCAAUCCACGCGAGUGUUGGCGACGGCGCUGCUGUUGUCACAAGAAAAGAUGGACGAGAUGUCCUCAAAGGGAUCCAAGAUGUUUGAACCGUAGAAAUACAAAGCCAUGUGGGCAAGAGAUUUGCUGGGUGAAUGCUAGAAACAAAUAGACUUGAUCAAUGCUAGAUGUGAGCGAUUGCUCCUCUUUUAUACACUGGGAUGACACCUCUAGGACACUCUAGAGUGUUCCCACAUAUUCUAGAGGACUCUAGCAUAUCUAUACCCUCAAACUCUAGUUAGCUCCAUACUUGACCAAAAAAAUCUUGGACAUUUAAGUGAGGUGUAUAAUAUACUUGGGGAAAAGUCCCCAUGCAAAAUCCCAAUUUGAAAUAUUCUCGAUAGAGGAUCAAGAGUUAAUAUAAUUGAGUUUGCAACCUGCAAAGCCCUGGGGUUUGGACCAAUCCAGCUAGCUUCUUUCAAGAAUUGCUCAUCCCCUAGGAAUUAAAAAACAUAUUGUGAUUAAUAUUGAAAACCUUGUGGUGCUAAAAAUGUUAAAACAAGAAUCUUCUUAUGAGUCCUUCAGGGAUAAUCAAACGAUCUAACAAAUUCCCAAAGACAAAAGUUUAUUAAUGGUUCAAGUACAUAGUGAGAUCAUAACUAUCAAAUAAGUGUAGGUUUGAUGCCAACAAGGACUUUUAUGCAAAAAUUUUGCUCAAUAAGUUAUUAUUCACAUAGCUUAGAGGCGUUUCCCAAAGCACACGUUUCAGGUUCGAUUCUACUAUGGACAAAAGUUAAAAAAAUUUAAAACAAACUUGACCUUGGAGCAGCAACGGUUCCAAUGUUUGACAUUUUUGUGUCGCUGGAUGAAAGGUCUUCGGUAUAGACAGUCCGGUCCUGGAUCUGCCAAUCUACGAUCCUUGCCUGGGUACAUUUACAGACAAGCAGAGCGACGGGAAUGAGCCACCAGUUGUUCUCCUCCCUGCUUCAUUCAUAGAAACAGCGAAUGAGCGUGAGAAAAUCUCGAACAAAACUCUCUGAGAGAUCUACUCUAUUAAUUUUUAUUAAUAAUCCACAGUGUUCUUCGUUCGAGUGGUUUAAUCCACCACCGAGUGAACUCCACACACCCAGAGCGCCACUAUCGUCCUUGGAUCCCACCACGUGGUGGUCGUCAAGUAUUUUGGGAAGAGGAGCACCGCCCCGAUCCAUCUAGAUCCCGUCCUCAUACCUCUAAAAUCGGGGAAGCGCUUCUGCCAAGGACGAAA